Molecule: long non-coding RNA, 1247 nt
Organism: Anopheles funestus (African malaria mosquito)
Lineage: Eukaryota; Metazoa; Arthropoda; Insecta; Diptera; Culicidae
Exons: 3
Source: RefSeq, a predicted model, not a curated record
CGUUAUCAGUAGCGUUUGUUCAAUGUACCGAUUAAAACCCAUCACACUACAAGCUCGUUGGAGAUUGCUGUGUUGUACGAUAUUUAGAUUACGAAUCGUGUCCCAAACCCAACCGAGGGCAUAAAACGUUGCAUUAAUCCUUCCGCGUUGCACAGUAUCAUUCGUGGGUUGGCAGACAUUGGUAGGUUGAGUGAGCGCCGCUAGCAUGCACAACCAAUAUCCGAGCCACAAUUGGCCACAACGAAGAGGGGUUUAGAGUGAAAAGUACAAUUUAAACAAAACAAAACAAAAACCAUGGAUAAGAACGGAAGGCUAUUACAGUUGAUAAGACUAUCGGAGACAGCAUCAAACAUGAGUUUUAUUUCACUCCCUUUAAUGUCCGAUUGACCUAAUCGUCUUUUUUCGAAUUCCGAGUGUAAUUUGUUGCUGUGUGCAUUUUCAUAUGCUUGGUAAGCUGGAUUACAUCAAAACACGUAAGUAAAGAUCCACCAGUAACAACAAAGCCUCUGAUUGGCGAACGUGUUGCUCGGGAGAAGUGUUCAUUCAUCAGCAUGCAGCGAACACAACUAUAAGCGAGAAUUGCCAACUUCAUCCCUUCACCGAGGGUGGUCUAUUGUGAUCUACCUGCGCACCGAAAGGAACCUUCUGCUGCAUCCUCAUUGGUUUGGACGAAGAGAAAUGUUGCAGAAAAUGUACGCUAAACAGGACGAACGGAAAGCAACCGGUGAUGCUCACAGGCAAAGCAACUGGCUUGCAUGGUUUGGUGCAGCAUUUUUGCUCGAACCGACACACAGCAGCGUUAUGCCUUGCUUGGAUAUUAGAAGAAAUGAAUGCUCCAUUUGUCAACAUAAUAUCACGGGAACGCAACGGCUGGAAACACUCUGCGGUCACACGUUCCAUCGACAUUGUUUGAUGGUGUGGAUGCGCACGUACGCCUUCUGCCCUGACUGUCCCCGAAGGAUGUAGCUUAUUAAACGAGAUUUGCUUUCAACUAGCUCCGUAACGAACGCGCCAUUAAGCUGGCCGGCCAACAACGAGUGAUGAAUGAUUAGCAAACAGGGUAAAAUAUGAGUGGACACGCUUCCUACUUGCUAGCCAGUAAGAUCAACAGCUUUUCGUUACAAGUGUUUAUAGUAAGUUUCUUUCUUCCUCAUCCUAUACUCAAUGUACCGAGAAGUAUUAUACUCUGCCUAUCAUUACUUUUCUGCUUAUUUUUAAAGUAACAAUAAACAUAUUGCUAUGACUAA